This 465-nucleotide ribosomal RNA is filed under the name uncultured bacterium. RNAcentral's name for it is "partial 16S ribosomal RNA". It matches the Rfam family "Bacterial small subunit ribosomal RNA", at positions 338 to 795 of the family's 1533-position model. The record is from RNAcentral.
CCUACGGGCGGCAGCAGUAGGGAAUCUUCCACAAUGGGCGAAAGCCUGAUGGAGCAACGCCGCGUGGGUGAAGAAGGUCUUCGGAUCGUAAAACCCUGUUGUUAGAGAAGAAAGUGCGUGAGAGUAACUGUCCACGUUUCGACGGUAUCUAACCAGAAAGCCACGGCUAACUACGUGCCAGCAGCCGCGGUAAUACGUAGGUGGCAAGCGUUAUCCGGAUUUAUUGGGCGUAAAGGGAACGCAGGCGGUCUUUUAAGUCUGAUGUGAAAGCCUUCGGCUUAACCGGAGUAGUGCAUUGGAAACUGGGAGACGUGAGUGCAGAAGAGGAGAGUGGAACUCGAGGUGUAGCGGUGAAAUGCGUAGAGAUAUGGAAGAACACCAGUGGCGAAGGCGGCUCUCUGGUCUGUAACUGACGCUGAGGUUCGAAAGCGUGGGUAGCAAACAGGAUUAGAUACCCGUGUAGUC